RNAcentral lists this ribosomal RNA (445 nucleotides) under uncultured bacterium. Its description in RNAcentral is "SSU rRNA". It matches the Rfam family "Bacterial small subunit ribosomal RNA", at positions 26 to 518 of the family's 1533-position model. The record is from RNAcentral.
AGAGCGAACGCUGGCGGCAGGCCUAAUACAUGCAAGUCGAACGGAUCCUUCGGGAUUAGUGGCGGACGGGUGAGUAACACGUGGGAACGUACCCUUUGGUUCGGAACAACUCAGGGAAACUUGAGCUAAUACCGAAUGUGCCCUUCGGGGAAAAGAUUUAUCGCCAUUGGAGCGGCCCGCGUCUGAUUAGCUAGUUGGUAGGGUAAAGGCCUACCAAGGCUACGAUCAGUAGCUGGUCUGAGAGGAUGAUCAGCCACACUGGGACUGAGACACGGCCCAGACUCCUACGGGAGGCAGCAGUAGGGAAUCUUGCGCAAUGGGCGAAAGCCUGACGCAGCCAUGCCGCGUGAAUGAUGAAGGUCUUAGGAUUGUAAAAUUCUUUCAGCGGGGACGAUAAUGACGGUACCCGCAGAAGAGCCCCGGCUAACUUCGCGCCAGCAGCCGC